CAGUCUGGAGACACACCUCGCUCCCUGCUUCCUUCACUGUCUUGUCUGCAGAGCUGUGUUUGGUGUCCAGCCACUCUCAGAACACUGUUCCCUGAGUCCAGACUCAGCAGCCAUGGGGAGUGAAGCUGUCAAUACUGGUGUUGCCAUAGCUGGCUUAGUGACAGCUGUUGGCCAGGCCAUCGCUCAAGUUGCUCCGACACACCGGCAGUGCCAUAUCACCAUAACGAAUGGAUGCAGCAGCUACUCCCUCACCAACACCAGGUGGUACACUGACAGUGGAGGCUGUGCGGCACCCUUUCCACCCACCAUUUCUUCCCAUGCGCUGGAGAGCGCUCUGUUCAUCAAGACUCCUUACACCGCUUGUGGUGCUGUCGGCGUCGUCACCUACGACCUCCUGAACAAUGACAGCAAACAAACCACAGAAAAAAUUGCAAUAAUGUUCUCGAAUCCCUACGACUUUAACGUUCACUCAAACCUGUACGCACUGGGAAUCUUUGACGUGAGCAGGGAGUGUGAUGAGAAUCUUUAUAAUGAGAUGGCGAAUGGGACGAGUGACUCCUUCAUCAGAAGUAAACCAGUUGGCAACGUCUUGAUUUACAAAAAAAAUGGUAUUACCAUCAAGGCGACAAUGUCAGAUGCCUAUCAGGCUGUGAUAAAGGUGGAACUUAGUGAGACUAACUAAAAUGAGUGAUGAGAGACAUAUAUCAAUAUCUGGAUGUUAGAAUAUUAUGUCUUCCACUGGAAGACAAUAAUAAAGAAUCAAUAAUAUUGAAUCAGAGAUCUUUAAAGUGUGGAGGGAUGAGGUUGAACCAAUUCCCCCAACAGCUACUAUACUACAAGUCUUUCUCUGCAGCAUGAAACAGUGGUGCCUUCUGGUUUUUCUCUCAUGCAUAUUAUUCUUUAUUUUGGCAAAAGGUCAGUAUUUUCAUGGAGAGACAGAGCCCUGAAGCUCCCAAUACUUAAGAACAGCUGUUCUCUCAACUGUAACUCAGACCAAUCAUUAAUAUCACAUCCUGUGUAGCAGGUUGGUUGGCAGGUGGCUGACUGUCUCUAUUCCUGCUGCAGUGCUGAUCUGAUACAAGUAGACCUAAAACAGAUUUUAGGCUGAUAGUGAUAUUACCAUACAUUCGACCUUUUCUUUUGAUCCACUUUUGCUGCUAAUUUCAACAGAUAUAGUCCUACUUAUACAGUUGCUCUCUAUAUGAACUCCCUUUGGAAUUUGUAUCUUUUUUUCAUUUGGAAAAAUCAAAUAAAUUUUUGA
This is a long non-coding RNA of Salarias fasciatus (jewelled blenny), 1261 nucleotides long. RefSeq lists it as uncharacterized. The record is from RefSeq and is a predicted model, not a curated record. Lineage: Eukaryota; Metazoa; Chordata; Actinopteri; Blenniiformes; Blenniidae. The transcript is spliced from 4 exons.